GUUUGAUCCUGGCUCGAAUGAACGCUGGCGGCAGGCCUAACACAUGCAAGUCGAACGGAGUUAUAUUGUAGCUUGCUAUGGUAUAACUUAGUGGCAGACGGGUGAGUAAUGUAUAGGAAUCUACCUAGUAGUACGGAAUAAUUGUUGGAAACGGCAACUAAUACCGUAUACGCCCUACGGGGGAAAAAUUUAUUGCUAUUAGAUGAGCCUAUAUUAGAUUAGCUAGUUGGUGGAGUAAUAGCCUACCAAGGCAAUGAUCUAUAGCUGAUCUGAGAGGAUGAUCAGCCACACUGGAACUGAGAUACGGUCCAGACUCCUACGGGAGGCAGCAGUGGGGAAUAUUGGACAAUGGGCGAAAGCCUGAUCCAGCCAUGCCGCAUGAGUGAAGAAGGCCUUUGGGUUGUAAAGCUCUUUUAGUGAGGAAGAUAAUGACGGUACUCACAGAAGAAGUCCUGGCUAACUCCGUGCCAGCAGCCGCGGUAAUACGGAGAGGGCUAGCGUUAUUCGGAAUUAUUGGGCGUAAAGGGCGCGUAGGCGGAUUAGUAAGUUAAAAGUGAAAUCCCAAGGCUCAACCUUGGAAUUGCUUUUAAAACUGCUAAUCUAGAGAUUGAAAGAGGAUAGAGGAAUUCCUAGUGUAGAGGUGAAAUUCGUAAAUAUUAGGAGGAACACCAGUGGCGAAGGCGUCUAUCUGGUUCAAAUCUGACGCUGAGGCGCGAAGGCGUGGGGAGCAAACAGGAUUAGAUACCCUGGUAGUCCACGCUGUAAACGAUGAAUGUUAAAUAUGGGAAGUUUUACUUUCUGUAUUACAGCUAACGCGUUAAACAUUCCGCCUGGGGACUACGGUCGCAAG
RNAcentral lists this ribosomal RNA (850 nucleotides) under uncultured bacterium. Its description in RNAcentral is "bacterial SSU rRNA". It matches the Rfam family "Bacterial small subunit ribosomal RNA", at positions 11 to 892 of the family's 1533-position model. The record is from RNAcentral.